AAUUUCAAAUGUUCAAUUUCUUUCACAGCGACCGAUAACCAUUUUCAGGACAGAUGUAAAGCGUUUAAGACAAUUAUUGUGUCCAGCAAACAUAAUGUAAAAUAUAGACUAUCGGAACGGGUGCAAGUUAAACCUGUUGACGAACAUUUAUGAGAGGGCAAGUCUGAUGCCAGCAUCCGCGGUACUUCCAACUCUCAAAGUAUAUAUCGUCAUUAUUGCCGUUAAAAAGUUCGUACUGGAUUUGCAUUUCAGGACUUGGUCCAUUCACUGGAUAAAAAUUGGGCUCCUUGCCAAUUUUUCGUACGUUACUUAGAUCGGUAACGUAUGGUGGUUAACAAGUUUACUUUGAAAAAAUCUGAGUGCUCAAUGCGGGUGAAUGCCUUGUGCAUGAAAUAAUAAAAUAGGAUUUCCGUUCUAUUUUCUCGGUUUUCUGAUCUGAGAUAAUGUUAAGAGGGACGGACGGAGGCAUUCGUAUCGCUGUGUGAGAGGUGAAAUUCUUGGACCGUGGCGACACGUCCGACUGCGAAAGCAUUUGCCCAGAAUGUCUUCAUUAAUCAAAAACGAAAGUCAAAGAUUUGAAGGCGAUGUGAUACCUAAUUCUCAAUUAUUGUAACAUAUUGGCAAAUGUUCAUUC
This is a non-coding RNA of Onchocerca ochengi, 634 nucleotides long. The record is from Rfam. NCBI's taxonomy places the organism in Eukaryota, Metazoa, Nematoda, Chromadorea, Rhabditida, Onchocercidae.